UGGAUGAGAUUAGCACGCCACUGGUUGCAGGGCUUCUUGCAGUAAGUAUUGACUCUCUUUUGCACGAUGUUGAGACUACUUUCUGGGUCCAGCGUAAUGUCUUUUGACAGUGAGUUGAACAGGUUAGCAACCUCUUUAUCACUUCCAAGGGCAUUUUGAAUAAUCCCUCUGGAGUACAGUAGGGCUACAUCUCGCUCAUUGUCUAUAAUGUUAUCCAUGAAGAAAAUAUAGGAAGUCACCUCAUGCCCCGCCCCAACAUGGAAAUUUUCAAAUGCAAUCAGAUUCAGAAACAUGGACUCUGUGGCAUCAUCCACAAUCAGG
Molecule: long non-coding RNA, 321 nt
Filed under: Carica papaya (papaya)
Lineage: Eukaryota; Viridiplantae; Streptophyta; Magnoliopsida; Brassicales; Caricaceae
Description: long non-coding RNA (CPAP_LNC009565)
Source: RNAcentral